GGAGCGGUAGUUCAGUUGGUUAGAAUACCGGCCUGUCACGCCGGGGGUCGCGGGUUCGAGUCCCGUCCGCUCCG
This is a non-coding RNA of Vibrio tubiashii ATCC 19109, 74 nucleotides long. NCBI's taxonomy places the organism in Bacteria, Pseudomonadati, Pseudomonadota, Gammaproteobacteria, Vibrionales, Vibrionaceae. The record is from Rfam.